RNAcentral lists this ribosomal RNA (253 nucleotides) under uncultured bacterium. RNAcentral's name for it is "partial 16S ribosomal RNA". It matches the Rfam family "Bacterial small subunit ribosomal RNA", at positions 524 to 776 of the family's 1533-position model. The record is from RNAcentral.
UACGGAGGGUGCAAGCGUUAAUCGGAAUUACUGGGCGUAAAGCGUGCGCAGGCGGUCAUGCAAGACAGAUGUGAAAUCCCCGGGCUCAACCUGGGAACUGCAUUUGUGACUGCAUGGCUGGAGUGCGGCAGAGGGGGAUGGAAUUCCGCGUGUAGCAGUGAAAUGCGUAGAUAUGCGGAGGAACACCGAUGGCGAAGGCAAUCCCCUGGGCCUGCACUGACGCUCAUGCACGAAAGCGUGGGGAGCAAACAGG